CUAUGGUAGAGACGCGGCGUACGGCUCAGUAACACGUGGCUAAUCUACCCUUGGGACGGGGACAACCCCGGGAAACUGGGGCUAAUACCCGAUGGGUGAGGAGGCCUGGAAUGGUUCUCCACCGAAAAGACGCUGAAACCAUGCUUUUCAACGUUGCCUAAGGAUGGGGCCGCGUCCGAUCAGGUUGUUGGUGGGGUAACGGCUCACCAAGCCUAUAACCGGUACGGGCCGUGAGAGCGGGAGCCCGGAGAUGGGCACUGAGACAAGGGCCCAGGCCCUACGGGGCGCAGCAGUCGCGAAAACUCCGCAAUGCGCGAAAGCGUGACGGGGCUACCCCGAGUGUCGUCCGCUGAGGAUGACUUUUCCCCGGUGUAAGGAGCCGGGGGAAUAAGGAGAGGGCAAGUCUGGUGUCAGCCGCCGCGGUAAUACCAGCUCUCCGAGUGGUAGGGACAAUUAUUGGGCUUAAAGCGUCCGUAGCCGGCCCGGCAAGUCUCCCGUUAAAUCCAGCGACCUAAUCGUUGGGCUGCAGGAGAUACUGUUGGGCUAGGAGGCGGGAGAGGCCGACGGUAUUCUCGGGGUAGGGGUGAAAUCCUAUAAUCCCGGGAGGACCACCAGUGGCGAAGGCUGUCGGCUAGAACGCGCUCGACGGUGAGGGACGAAAGCUGGGGGAGCGAACCGGAUUAGAUACCCGGGUAGU
RNAcentral lists this ribosomal RNA (697 nucleotides) under uncultured marine archaeon. RNAcentral describes it as "bacterial SSU rRNA". It matches the Rfam family "Archaeal small subunit ribosomal RNA", at positions 66 to 745 of the family's 1478-position model. The record is from RNAcentral.